CCCAUUGUGUCCACUCCACCUGACCCUUACACUCCACAGAGAGGACGGGACAGGACAUCCAACACAUUGGAUGACCCAGCACUCACCAAUGACCUGGACAGUAACUCAGACCAUCUCUACAGCUUCUGUGGAAGUCUCCAGGCUCAGAAACUGAAAAGUAAUGUUACUCUGGAUGUUCUGUGUGUGGAUCCACAGCUGAAUGACCCCAGUAGCUUUAAUGCAAUACCUCAG
This is a long non-coding RNA of Carassius auratus (goldfish), 231 nucleotides long. RefSeq lists it as uncharacterized. The transcript has 3 exons. NCBI's taxonomy places the organism in Eukaryota, Metazoa, Chordata, Actinopteri, Cypriniformes, Cyprinidae. The record is from RefSeq and is a predicted model, not a curated record.